RNAcentral lists this long non-coding RNA (483 nucleotides) under Mytilus galloprovincialis (Mediterranean mussel). The record is from RNAcentral. Lineage: Eukaryota; Metazoa; Mollusca; Bivalvia; Mytilida; Mytilidae.
AUUGUUUCAAGAUAUUAAAAAAAAAAAAAAACAUUUUAGGAAAUUCCAAUAGCGAAAAUAAAAAUUAAGCAUCUGUUUUAAAUACCAAAAAAAAUUCCUUUAACCACUCCUUUGCUGAAAGUAAUAUUUUGUAUCCCAGUCAUAUAUUUCUAUUAUAAAAAGGGGGGAUUCUAAGUCUCGGACCCCUCUUGUUAUCCAGUGGCCGAUCCGGGGUAGGGGUUCCGCGGUUUGGACCCGAUUUAAAAGAUCAAAGUAUUUGACUGAUUGGAACCCCACCCCCUUUCUGUUGAGUUCAGCUGGAUUACCUGCGGAACCGUAGCUCAUAGGUUUUAAUAGUUAUCCCACGAUGAUGCGGUGUGUCAAUGUAAGAUCAUCCCGAUGGCCGGAGGCCAGAGGUUGAUCUAACACUGACACACCAAGUCCGAUGUAAUAUUUACAUCCAGCUAUUUAAGAUAAGACGAAAACCAUUUUACAAUUCAUAAA